RNAcentral lists this transfer RNA (98 nucleotides) under Nocardiopsis terrae. RNAcentral describes it as "tRNA-Val". The record is from RNAcentral. Lineage: Bacteria; Bacillati; Actinomycetota; Actinomycetes; Streptosporangiales; Nocardiopsidaceae.
UCGGCGAGCUGGUCGGCGUCGGUGGCGGUCACCGUCUCACCCCCGGCCCCUCCGCUCACGCCGGGGUGGAGGGCGGGUUCCGCGUCCGCACCGCCGGU